GACGAACGCUGGCGGCGUGCUUAACACAUGCAAGUCGAACGGAAAGGCCCUGCUUUUGUGGGGUGCUCGAGUGGCGAACGGGUGAGUAACACGUGAGUAACCUGCCCUUGACUUUGGGAUAACUUCAGGAAACUGGGGCUAAUACCGGAUAGGAGCUCCUGCUGCAUGGUGGGGGUUGGAAAGUUUCGGCGGUUGGGGAUGGACUCGCGGCUUAUCAGCUUGUUGGUGGGGUAGUUGCUUACCAAGGCUUUGACGGGUAGCCGGCCUGAGAGGGUGACCGGCCACAUUGGGACUGAGGUACGGCCCAGACUCCUACGGGAGGCAGCAGUGGGGAAUAUUGCACAAUGGGCGGGAGCCUGAUGCAGCAACGCCGCGUGCGGGAUGACGGCCUUCGGGUUGUAAACCGCUUUCGCCUGUGACGAAGCGUGAGUGACGGUAAUGAGUAAAGAAGCACCGGCUAACUACGUG
RNAcentral lists this ribosomal RNA (468 nucleotides) under uncultured bacterium. RNAcentral's name for it is "partial 16S ribosomal RNA". It matches the Rfam family "Bacterial small subunit ribosomal RNA", at positions 28 to 507 of the family's 1533-position model. The record is from RNAcentral.